RNAcentral lists this ribosomal RNA (454 nucleotides) under uncultured bacterium. Its description in RNAcentral is "partial 16S ribosomal RNA". It matches the Rfam family "Bacterial small subunit ribosomal RNA", at positions 341 to 792 of the family's 1533-position model. The record is from RNAcentral.
ACGGGAGGCAGCAGUGAGGAAUAUUGGUCAAUGGACGAGAGUCUGAACCAGCCAAGUAGCGUGCAGGAUGACGGCCCUAUGGGUUGUAAACUGCUUUUGUACGGGAAUAAAGUGACCUACGUGUAGGUUUUUGCAUGUACCGUAAGAAUAAGGACCGGCUAAUUCCGUGCCAGCAGCCGCGGUAAUACGGAAGGUCCGGGCGUUAUCCGGAUUUAUUGGGUUUAAAGGGAGCGUAGGCGGAAGGUCAAGUCAGCUGUGAAAUGUAGUCGCUCAACGUCUGCACUGCAGUUGAAACUGGCCUCCUUGAGUGCGUAAGAGGCAGGCGGAAUUCGUCGUGUAGCGGUGAAAUGCUUAGAUAUGACGAAGAACUCCUAUUGCGAAGGCAGCUUGCUGGGCCGCAACUGACGCUGAAGCUCGAAGGUGCGGGUAUCGAACAGGAUUAGAUACCCUGGUA